RNAcentral lists this transfer RNA (74 nucleotides) under Caulobacter phage RW. Its description in RNAcentral is "tRNA-Val". It matches the Rfam family "tRNA". Rfam says of the family: Transfer RNA (tRNA) molecules are approximately 80 nucleotides in length. Their secondary structure includes four short double-helical elements and three loops (D, anti-codon, and T loops). Further hydrogen bonds mediate the characteristic L-shaped molecular structure. tRNAs have two regions of fundamental functional importance: the anti-codon, which is responsible for specific mRNA codon recognition, and the 3' end, to which the tRNAs corresponding amino acid is attached (by aminoacyl-tRNA synthetases). tRNAs cope with the degeneracy of the genetic code in two manners: having more than one tRNA (with a specific anti-codon) for a particular amino acid; and 'wobble' base-pairing, i.e. permitting non-standard base-pairing at the 3rd anti-codon position. RNAcentral also lists the same sequence under 3 other names. Lineage: Duplodnaviria; Heunggongvirae; Uroviricota; Caudoviricetes. The record is from RNAcentral.
GGUCAAGUACGCCUCAGAUGGUUAGAGCGAUAGGCUAACGCCUUGUGCCGCGAGUUCGAAUCUCGCCUUGCUCG